ACAUAUUUUAGAGCUAAAAUCAUUUUUAUAAAAUAAUAAAAAUUACUUUCAAAUCCAAAUUCAACCUAUUAUAAAAAUAAGAAUCCUAAAAUAAAUUAAAUGUAACCCAUUUCUUCUUUAUUAUAAACUACACCUUGAUCUGAAUUAUUUUUUUAACAAAAUCUUAAAUAUUAAAUUUCUAUAAAAAUAUUUAUAUAACAACGAUAUGUAAACUAAUAAAAAAAGUAAAUUUAAUCGUGGAUUAUCAUUUAUGAAACAGGUUCCUCUGAAAAGAUAAAAUACCGCCAGAAUUUUUAAUUUUAAAGAUUAUAUCUAAUACUAAUUUAAUUUUAAUUAUUACUUUUCCAAUAAUAGGGUAUCUAAUCCUAGUCUAUAAAUAAAUUUUCUCAACUUCAUUAACUUAUACAAAAUUAUUAAAAAAUUAAAAUUUCACCUAAUAAUUUUUUAACAUAACUUUAUACUUAAAUAAAUUGUUAUUAAUAAAAUUAAAUAAUAUUAUUUGGAUAACCGCA
Molecule: ribosomal RNA, 512 nt
Filed under: Arsipoda geographica
Lineage: Eukaryota; Metazoa; Arthropoda; Insecta; Coleoptera; Chrysomelidae
Description: partial 12S ribosomal RNA
Source: RNAcentral